Long non-coding RNA from Protobothrops mucrosquamatus (brown spotted pit viper), 232 nucleotides. RefSeq lists it as uncharacterized. Lineage: Eukaryota; Metazoa; Chordata; Lepidosauria; Squamata; Viperidae. The transcript is spliced from 3 exons. The record is from RefSeq and is a predicted model, not a curated record.
CCUGCUAGCCAUUAUUCUGCACUAGUUAAGGCUGCUAAAUAAUGUCCAGGGAGAAUCCUGAAGAUAAUUAUUCACUCUCAAAAAGAAGCCAUUCUUGCCUCUCUGCACUCUACUUUCGUGAACCUGCUCUAUGUUGGCAAUCCAAAUUCUAGUCCCACCACUUGUAUCGUGCAGCUAUGACCUUAGACUGGAUUUUGUGCCACUGUCAGGACUUCUAAUACAGAGAAGAUUU